RNAcentral lists this ribosomal RNA (534 nucleotides) under Triticum aestivum (bread wheat). RNAcentral describes it as "partial small subunit ribosomal RNA". Lineage: Eukaryota; Viridiplantae; Streptophyta; Magnoliopsida; Poales; Poaceae. The record is from RNAcentral.
AUGUGCCAAUAUAAGUUGAAAGAUAUCAUUAUUGAUGAGGCCAUACUAAUCUUAGGGGUGGAAAAGGAGCUCACUGAAGUGCUGCGAAGAGUAGAACUAAUACGGUGUUGCAUACAUGAUGCUGAGAAAAGGAGGACAAAAGAGCAAGCAGUAAACAAUUGGCUUGGUCAACUGAGAGAUCUUAUAUAUGAUGUUGAUGAAAUCUUGGAUGUGGCUAGAUGUAAAGGAAGCAACCUACUUGCUGAUGACCCUUCACCAUCAUCUGGCAAAUCAGUUGCAUGUAAAGGCCUUUCAGUUUCCUCUUGUUUUUGCAACAUCGGGCCACAUCAUGAUGUUGUUGUUCGGAUUACAAGCCUCAACAAGAAGAUACAGAACAUUUUGCAUGACAACUGGUGUUCUUGCUUCAAUAAAGAAAUACUGAGAGGGAGCUCAGUUUCUCUCAAUACAGAACAUGUACAAGCAGGACGACGCGGCGGGCUUGAUCAGCUUAAGCUAUCCAUUCAUUGGCACGGACGAAUGCUAUUUGCUAGUUAA